AUUGAACGCUGGCGGCAGGCUUAACACAUGCAAGUCGAGCGAGCGGCGGACGGGUGAGUAAUGUCUGGGAAACUGACUGAUGGAGGGGGAUAACUACUGGCAACGGUAGCUACUACCGCAUACCAUCAGAUGAGCCCAGAUGGGAUUAGCUAGUAGGGGGGGUAAUGGCUCACAUAGGCGACGAUCCCUAGCUGGUCUGCGAGGAUGACCAGCCAAACUGGAACUGUGACACGGUCCAGACUCCAACGUGAGGCAGCAGUGGGGAAUAGUGCACAAUGGGCGCAAGCCUGAUGCAGCCAUGCCGCGUGUGUGAAGAAGGCUUUCGGGUUGUAAAGCACUUUCAGCGAGGAGGCGUUACUCGCAGAAGAAGCACCGGCUAACUCCGUGCCAGCAGCCGCGGUAAUAC
Molecule: ribosomal RNA, 406 nt
Filed under: uncultured bacterium
Lineage: Bacteria
Description: partial 16S ribosomal RNA
Rfam family: Bacterial small subunit ribosomal RNA
Source: RNAcentral